This 116-nucleotide non-coding RNA is filed under the name Microbacterium terrae. RNAcentral describes it as "Microbacterium ketosireducens Glycine sequence". It matches the Rfam family "Glycine riboswitch aptamer". From Rfam's summary of the family: This family represents the bacterial glycine riboswitch. Glycine riboswitches usually consist of two metabolite-binding aptamers domains with similar structures in tandem. Lineage: Bacteria; Bacillati; Actinomycetota; Actinomycetes; Micrococcales; Microbacteriaceae. The record is from RNAcentral.
CCGACUCUGGAAAGCGAUCCGCCGCGAGCGGCGGGUCCGCCGACGGUGAAAGCACCUCCGCCCUUGACUCAGCGGGCGGGAUGCGAAACUCUCAGGCCCAUGACAGAGGGGGAGUU